Molecule: long non-coding RNA, 3371 nt
Filed under: Rattus norvegicus (Norway rat)
Lineage: Eukaryota; Metazoa; Chordata; Mammalia; Rodentia; Muridae
Description: long non-coding RNA NONRATT013598
Source: RNAcentral
UUUUGUAUAAAUGCCUAUGCAGUUGUCCACGCUGUUCCUACUCAGCCUUCAGCUCCUCGUUUUAAUGAUCUUUCCUUUUGGUAGGGCUUCAGAGACAUCAAAGAUAUGGGAAGCAAAGCCAGCCCCUGUGACCACAGCGGGCACUGCAUUGUGGCCCCUGGCUUGCUUGACCUUAGCCAGUCCAGAUAAAGAUUCCUUCCUCUAGGAUGUUACGUUGUUGCUGCUUUAGGUACAGAUGCAGUUUCUGUUGCCUAUGUAACCAGAAAAAUAACCUGGCUUCUGUGGUAUGGUGUGUUCAUAAAGAAGUGGUGCAGCCUGUUUACCCAGUAGAGUCUCAAAGGAUCACUGAAGUCCUUUAAGUACUGAAGGUUGGAGUAGACAUUAUUUCCUUAGCUCUCAUAACAUGCCUCUGCUUUUGUAGUUGUACUACAUAUGUCAAUGAGCUCGUCAACAGUUCAUGAAAUUACAAAAGAGUCACUUUAGAUGACUGACGCCUUUGAAAUAGAUGUAAGUGUUUAAUAUUAAAUUGGGGUUACUUUGCAGCUAUCUUUGAAGGUCUGUACUUUUCUUUCUGCACUUGGCUCUGUAUUUACAUGGUUGUUGCAAAGCCAUUCUUUCCUCAAUGUCACAUUUUAUGAAGAUCCUGAUAAGCAGAGUCUCUGUAAUGCAGAUAUCUGUUUAACCAGAUAGACUAGAAUAAAGAGGUCAUCUUGGUGUUACUUAGAUGGCAGCCACCUCCCAUUAUCUGAGAUAUCUACACCCAGCGAGCGGUGGCUAAUGCUUACAGUCACUUGGCCAACCUGGUUUGCAUCCCCACCCCCAACCCACAUAGACACUGAAGGGUUUCCUUGCUUUAUUAAUUCCAGGCAGUGUAGCUGCACAGAACUCCACUCAUGACAACGGCUUUUACUACCUAGCUUUCUGACUCCUUUCUGCCUCGAAAGUAUCAAUACUUGGCCUCUGUUCUAGGACAAUUGUAAAGGCAAGUGAGAUAGGUCUGUUUUAGAACACUGAUGCACACAUGAUGCUUAGGUAAGGAGUAAUGAGUGUGAUCCAGCCUGUCAUAACCCUUAUAUCAAACACGCUUCCAUUAGAGUAGUAGGAAUGAGUUUGAAGGAAGGUGUUGAACUUUAAACAGUUAUGUUGAAUGGAGUUAGAUAGCCUAUUUUGACUUCUAAUGUGUCUUCAAUCAGUCCUGGAUACUCACCUUUGUCUUUUGCAAAUAAAGACAUUCAUUAGUUGCGCUUGUCUUUGUAAGUAAGGUUGGUUUUCAUAAAAGUUUUAAGUUGCCUUUGCUUAUUUAAAAGGAGAAAAGUACGUUAGUAACUUUUUUCUUGCAAGUUUGCCUCCAGUUCUAUGGAAAAUCAUAAUUUAUUUCCCACAUUAUUUUCAUCUUAAAAAUAAAAAUCAGUGCCCAUUUAAUUUGAGUCUGAUAGUGAUUUUAGUAGGUCUGGAUCCAGGUAGUGUGGGAAUGGGGAGUAGCCAUUUAGAGGCUGUGGGUUGUUGAGUCGUUAUGGGUAUACUUCAUGCACUGUGAUGAAGCUUGUGGGGACAGUCUCAGAGACUGCUGCUCUUGGUGGGCGACUGGUCGUAGCUGGCUGCUGUUGGAGCUGCAUCAUGACUUACAAAACCAGCAGGUACAGGCCCAUCAGAACCUAGUAUCUUAUCCCUCAGCCAAUGAGACGAAUACUGGUAUGCUUUCUGACACACAGGGUGAAUGAAUACUGACCUAGGGAGUCUGAUGUAAACUAACUGAAGAAAAGAGUCCUUCCUCUCAAGGUGAUGCUGAUUUGUGGUGUUUAGGAGAGGGGAGUAGGACUGCAGACGAGGACUGGUUCAGAUGGUGACCACAGUAACUGAAGGUUCUGUCCUGCUCUUGUCAUCAGGAGGGUUAUGUUUGCUGAUGUUGGCAGGCACAGUGCAAGUCAUUUAUGGAGACAGUUCAGUGUAAACUGUCUUGCCAACCAUUUUGCCUUUUCUCUGUUACUCUAUUCUUUCUCUCCUUAACCAGCCUUGCUACAUUUUACCUCUCUCCUGAAAUCACUUUCCUGCUUCAUGGUACCAAGCAGUACCACCCAGAGCCCUUCAGCCCCACAGUUUAUUCACUAGUAUUUUUUAUUCUCUUUACUCAAGAGGUAGUUGCUGACCUGCUGUUGUAAAGUCUGCCUCUAGGAGGGGAGGCAUAACUGAAUGGCCUUGUGAAAUAACACUGAAGAGCUUCCUAUGAAUACUAUAUUAGUUCCUUUCUGUUGUUUUGUUAAAAUACCUCCAACAGAAAGCAAGCUAAGAAAGAAAGGAUUUAUUUUGCUUUAAAUUUACAAAAUAUAUACAGUCAUCUUGGCCAGAAAGUCACAGAGACAUUUCAUCUGAGCACAGGAAAUAGGGCAAGGGCUACGAAACCUCAAAGCUGGCAAUGAAUGCUCUUUCUCCAACAGUGCUCCACCUCAAAGUCUGUAACCUUUCCCACCAGCAUCAAGGGCAGAAGGCUAAACAUUCAAAUAGAUGAGCAUGAGAGACAGUUUUUCAAACUACAAUGAACUGUAACAAUUUGUUGUAAACUUAUGUCAUUUUCUCUACAUUAAAAAUAGGGACGGGGCUGGGGAUUUAGCUCAGUGGUAGAGCGCUUACCUAGGAAGCACAAGGCCCUGGGUUCGGUCCCCAGCUCCGAAAAAAAGAAUCAAAAAAAAAAAAUAGGGAGAUAGUCAAAAUAACUUGUCUAAUAUCGUGCAUCUAAGUACUGAUUGGUUUUUAACAUCUGUUCAGGGGCCUUGCUAGAUAUUUUCCUUGGGUUUCUUUCCCCCCUCACUAGUGCAGAAAUUUAAAUCCCAUGGCCUCUGAACCUUCACUCCAACGCUGAGCUACACUCCUAUUUCCUCAUCAUAUCAGUAAGCACUUCUAUAGUAUCUUUUUUUUUUAAGAUUUUUUAAAAAUAUUUAUUUAUUUUAUGUACAGCAUUCUGCCUGCAUAUGUGACUGCAGGCCAGAAGAGGGCACCAGGUCUCAUUACAGAUGGUUGUGAGCCACCAUGUGGUUCCUGGGAAUCAAACUCAUGACCUCUGGAAGAGCAGUCAGUGCUCUUAACCGCUGAGCCAUCUCUCCAGCCCGUAGUAUCUUUAUCCUGUUUAUAUUCUGCUAAUAGUGGUUAUGCUACUGUCAGCCUCUGCUAAACUGCAAGCUCCGUGACAGCACAGUGGCUUUGCUUGUAUCCCACAGUAACAGUAUGCCAUGCUUGGUUGGUAUACCAUAUUUGCUAAUGAAGAAACAGUGGUAACCAUUUGUACUUGGCUUGGGUUGAGUAUGGAAAUUUAAUACUUGUUGAAUAUUCAUGUAGCAGCAGACAUUUACCAGAAGAAAGUGCAAACAAAACAAGCC